RNAcentral lists this transfer RNA (86 nucleotides) under Chloroflexota bacterium. RNAcentral's name for it is "Chloroflexi bacterium tRNA-Tyr". It matches the Rfam family "tRNA". Rfam says of the family: Transfer RNA (tRNA) molecules are approximately 80 nucleotides in length. RNAcentral also lists the same sequence under 1 other name. The record is from RNAcentral. Lineage: Bacteria; Bacillati; Chloroflexota.
GGCGGGGUGGCAGAGUGGACAAUUGCAGCGGGCUGUAAACUCGCCGCCUUCGGGCUACGGAGGUUCGAAUCCUCCCCCCGCCACCA